Molecule: ribosomal RNA, 433 nt
Filed under: uncultured bacterium
Lineage: Bacteria
Description: partial 16S ribosomal RNA
Rfam family: Bacterial small subunit ribosomal RNA
Source: RNAcentral
AACGAACGCUGGCGGCAUGCCUAACACAUGCAAGUCGAACGAAACCUUCGGGUCUAGUGGCGCACGGGUGCGUAACGCGUGGGGAGCUGCACUUAUGGUCAGAAUAACUCCCCGAAAGGGGUGCUAAUACCGGAUAAUGUCUUCUGCCCAAAGAUUUCUUGCCUUUGGAUGGGCCCGCGUUGGAUUAGCUAGUUGGUAGGGUAAAAGCCUACCACGGCGACGAUCCAUAGCUUGUUUGAGAGAAUGGUCAGCGACACUGGGACUAAGACGCGGCCCAGACUCCUACGGGAGGCAGCAGUGGGGAACAUUGGACCAUGGGCUAAAGCCUGAUCCAGCACGGCCGGGUGAGUGAUGAAGGCCUGAGAGUUGUAAAGUUCUUUUACCCGGGAUGAUAAUGACGGUACCGGGAGAAUAAGCUCCGGCUAACUCCGUG